RNAcentral lists this unclassified non-coding RNA (358 nucleotides) under soil metagenome. Its description in RNAcentral is "partial contains 5.8S ribosomal RNA, internal transcribed spacer 2, and large subunit ribosomal RNA". The stretch from base 1 to 120 matches the Rfam family "5.8S ribosomal RNA", at positions 35 to 154 of the family's 154-position model. The record is from RNAcentral.
GAUGAAGAACGCAGCGAAAUGCGAUAAGUAAUGUGAAUUGCAGAAUUCAGUGAAUCAUCGAAUCUUUGAACGCACAUUGCGCCCGUCAGUAUUCUGGCGGGCAUGCCUGUUCGAGCGUCAUUACGCCCCUCAAGUCCCCUGUGGACUUGGUGUUGGGGAUCGGCGAGGCUGGUUUUCCAGCACAGCCGUCCCUUAAAUUAAUUGGCGGUCUCGCCGUGGCCCUCCUCUGCGCAGUAGUAAAACACUCGCAACAGGANNNNNNCGCGGUCCACUGCCGUAAAACCCCCCAACUUUUUAUAGUUGACCUCGAAUCAGGUAGGACUACCCGCUGAACUUAAGCAUAUCAAUAAGCGGAGGA